CUUCUUAGAGCCAAGAGGGUUCAGUGUGAGCUUGAGCCCAGGGCAGGUGUGUGCUGGGUGGCUUCUUACCACAGCAAUGCAGACACAGCUCCUUGGCACAUAGACCCCUGUGGGUUCUAGUAAAGCCAGGGGCUCCUUGCUUGCCAGCAGGAGGGCUGGCAUUGCCCCACAGGAGUGACUGGGGAGAGGGGGAUUCCCACCAGGCUCCACUCCCUUUGAGGCUCGAGAGGAAACUUCUAGAUGUCUCCGGGGGCUUAAAACCCCUCAUCCAACAGGAGACAGCUGAAGGACAGAGCCCUAGCAGCCCUGACCCCACUAUCAAUAGAAUUAGGGAAGCUGAGUCUUGGUGGGCUUGAGGCAGGAAGAGUAUAGAGGCCAGGGGGGACCAGGGGGAGGUUGACAGGUGAGGAUCUCUUCUUGGAUCCUGUGCCCUGCCAGGGAAGGACUCAGCUGAGACACAGUUUAAGAUGAAGUUUACUUCACAAAGUGGAGAAGUUGGGGCAGUCUCUCCUGAAAGUGGGGGAGCAUCAUAGUGGAUGCUGAUUGUGGGGUUUUGUGUGUGUGUGUGUGUGUGUGUGUGUGUGUGUGUGUGUGUGUGUGUGUGUGUGAUGUGACACAAGUGUCUCUGUGUGUGCACAUGCAUCAAUGUGUGAUGUGUGUGCAUGUGUGUGUGUGCAUAUGUUUUUAUGAAGGUUAAAGGACAGCUUGCAGGAGUCGGGCCCCACUUCUAUCAUGAGGUUUCAGGGGUGGAGUUGAGGUUGUCAAGCUCCCUCUGGCCCCAUUUUGUGGAUUUGUAAAGGUGUUCUUAUGAACUUUAUGAGAUUGGUGUCAUACUCAUGGGGUAAGGUAACCCUUUUUUCUCCCCAAAUUUCCCCUUUAGGGUAUUUAUUUGCAGGUUUUAGGGAAAGAUCACAGGGGUGUGGGGGAUCAAAUCUGCAGUGCAAAUGGAUGUGGUGGAUGUUGACCCUUGGGCAGUGUGCAUGUGUGUGUGGGACACCUCUGUCCUAGUUUCUGAGCAGCAUGGCUUCAAGGACACGGUGCAGAUGAGCAGCAAGCUGUCAGGAGCUCCGCUACCAAUAUGCAGCUGGGGUUUCCUUGGUUACCCAACACCUACCCUCUGGAAUCCCUAUCACAGGUCCUCCUCUGUGCAGCGCUCCAUCCCUCUGUCAACCUGAGAGCCCAGGUUUCCUGCUUCCUGACAGGCUCCAGGCUCCUUGGCUGGUGGGUGGGACAGUCCCUCCUACUGUGAGGAGUGAAGGCCCAGAGCAGGGCUCUGGCUCUGCUGCAACCACCUCAGACCCAGAGCUGAAAAGACAAGAAGACAGUUGUUACCCAGGCUUGAAGGUCAAAGCAACAGUCGAGCUACAGCAGGCAUUAGUGGUGUUGGGGUGGCCAGCUAGGGCCCCCAGCCACCCCUGAGCCAUUGUCCUGUUUCCUCCCGAUAGGAAUGCCUCCACAGCUGUGUACGCCUGCAGCAACCCUGCCCAGGAGACCUACUUCCAGCAGCUGGCACCCACUGCCCGCAGCUCUGGUUUCCCGAACCCUCAGGAUUGUGCCUUCAGCCUCUCGGGCAAAGCCAAGCAGAAGCUGCUGAAGCAUGGGGUAAACCUGCUGUGAGCUGGGUGCAGCCGGUCUGCUGUCAGGGGGCCGUGUCCCCAGUGCUAACGGUCUGCUGUCAGGGGGCCAUGUCCCCAGUGCUAACGGUCUGCUGUCACGGGGCCGUGUCCCCAGUGCUAACGGUUGAGCAGGACCUUGCUCUUCAGUGGCAGCUGCAUGAAACUGAGUGGGCUCAGGCUCUGUCAUGUGCGAGUGACUGGAGUACAGUGCAGAGCAGGCUGCAGGCUCAGGAAGGCAGCUGCAGGAGUCUCAGCUGACUUUACUUGCGGUACCCAUGGUGCUUUGCAACCUUAUGGUGCUGAGUUCCAGGCUUAUGAAGCAGAUUCCCAAAGGUUCAAAAAUAAAAUGACCAAACUG
RNAcentral lists this long non-coding RNA (1974 nucleotides) under Rattus norvegicus (Norway rat). Its description in RNAcentral is "long non-coding RNA NONRATT008091". The record is from RNAcentral. Lineage: Eukaryota; Metazoa; Chordata; Mammalia; Rodentia; Muridae.